Molecule: ribosomal RNA, 511 nt
Filed under: uncultured bacterium
Lineage: Bacteria
Description: bacterial SSU rRNA
Rfam family: Bacterial small subunit ribosomal RNA
Source: RNAcentral
UCCUACGGGAGGCAGCAGCAGGGAAUCUUGGGCAAUGGGCGAAAGCCUGACCCAGCGACGCCGCGUGGAGGAAGAAGUCCUUCGGGGCGUAAACUCCUGGACUGGGGGACGAGGAAGGACGGUACCCCAGUAGAAAGGGACGGCUAACUACGUGCCAGCAGCCGCGGUAAAACGUAGGUCCCGAGCGUUGUUCGGAUUCACUGGGUGUAAAGGGCGCGUAGGUGGUUGUCUGUGUCUCAUGUGAAAACUCAGGGCUCAACUCUGAGAUUGCGUGGGAAACUAGGCAGCUAGAGGACGGUAGAGGGGAGUGGAAUUCCCGGUGUAGCGGUAAAAUGCGUAGAUAUCGGGAGGAACACCGGUGGCGAAGGCGGCUCUCUGGGCCGAUCCUGACGCUGAGGCGCGAAAGCUAGGGGAGCGAACCGGAUUAGAUACCCGGGUAGUCCUAGCCGUAAACGAUGGGUGCUAGGUGUUGGGGGGUAAAGACCCUUCAGUGCCGAAGCCAACGCGAUAA